RNAcentral lists this transfer RNA (70 nucleotides) under Marmota monax (woodchuck). RNAcentral's name for it is "tRNA.Ala". Lineage: Eukaryota; Metazoa; Chordata; Mammalia; Rodentia; Sciuridae. The record is from RNAcentral.
GUGGUGGCCCAGCGGUAGAGCGCUCGCCUAGCACAUGUGUGAGGCAGUGGGUUCGAUCCUCAGCACCACG